AAUUGUUUGGCUGACUGGAAAGCAGUUACCUUGAAAGUAAUUUAAAAGAGUUUAAUUCUCUUAACAAUUU
This 70-nucleotide transfer RNA is filed under the name Sinella curviseta. Its description in RNAcentral is "tRNA-Ser". It matches the Rfam family "tRNA". From Rfam's summary of the family: Transfer RNA (tRNA) molecules are approximately 80 nucleotides in length. Their secondary structure includes four short double-helical elements and three loops (D, anti-codon, and T loops). Further hydrogen bonds mediate the characteristic L-shaped molecular structure. tRNAs have two regions of fundamental functional importance: the anti-codon, which is responsible for specific mRNA codon recognition, and the 3' end, to which the tRNAs corresponding amino acid is attached (by aminoacyl-tRNA synthetases). tRNAs cope with the degeneracy of the genetic code in two manners: having more than one tRNA (with a specific anti-codon) for a particular amino acid; and 'wobble' base-pairing, i.e. permitting non-standard base-pairing at the 3rd anti-codon position. Lineage: Eukaryota; Metazoa; Arthropoda; Collembola; Entomobryomorpha; Entomobryidae. The record is from RNAcentral.